Molecule: ribosomal RNA, 225 nt
Filed under: uncultured Chryseobacterium sp.
Lineage: Bacteria; Pseudomonadati; Bacteroidota; Flavobacteriia; Flavobacteriales; Weeksellaceae
Description: partial 16S ribosomal RNA
Rfam family: Bacterial small subunit ribosomal RNA
Source: RNAcentral
UCCGUAGGCGGACUUGUAAGUCAGUGGUGAAAUCUCAUAGCUUAACUAUGAAACUGCCAUUGAUACUGCAGGUCUUGAGUAAAUUUGAAGUGGCUGGAAUAAGUAGUGUAGCGGUGAAAUGCAUAGAUAUUACUUAGAACACCAAUUGCGAAGGCAGGUCACUAAGAUUUAACUGACGCUGAUGGACGAAAGCGUGGGUAGCGAACAGGAUUAGAUACCCUCGUA